UUAAGAAAUGAUGGCGAUUUAUUAAAAACAUUACUUUGUUUAAUUAUUUUAACAUACAUUUAAAGCUAUCUUUGCGGUCUCCGGUGUUAGGGGAUGUGUUAGGGGCGUUUAGUGGGUGUGGUUUGAGUGGGACCGGACGUAAACAUUCUGAGUUUUGACAGCAGCGUGUGAGGAUGUAUCAG
Sinocyclocheilus anshuiensis is the source of this 182-nucleotide long non-coding RNA. RefSeq lists it as uncharacterized. The record is from RefSeq and is a predicted model, not a curated record. The transcript has 3 exons. Lineage: Eukaryota; Metazoa; Chordata; Actinopteri; Cypriniformes; Cyprinidae.